This 225-nucleotide ribosomal RNA is filed under the name uncultured bacterium. Its description in RNAcentral is "partial 16S ribosomal RNA". It matches the Rfam family "Bacterial small subunit ribosomal RNA", at positions 111 to 334 of the family's 1533-position model. The record is from RNAcentral.
UAACGCGUGAGGAACCUGCCUCAAAGAGGGGACGAACAGUUGGAAACGACUGCUAAUACCGCAUAAGCCCACAGCUCGGCAUCGAGCAGAGGGAAAAGGAGCAAUCCGCUUUGAGAUGGCCUCGCGUCCGAUUAGCUAGUUGGUGAGGUAACGGCCCACCAAGGCGACGAUCGGUAGCCGGACUGAGAGGUUGAACGGCCACAUUGGGACUGAGACACGGCCCAG